RNAcentral lists this ribosomal RNA (254 nucleotides) under uncultured bacterium. Its description in RNAcentral is "partial 16S ribosomal RNA". It matches the Rfam family "Bacterial small subunit ribosomal RNA", at positions 524 to 776 of the family's 1533-position model. The record is from RNAcentral.
GACGAACCGUGCGACCGUUAUUCGGAAUCACUGGGCUUAAAGCGCGUGUAGGCGGAUUGGAACGUCGGUCGCUGAAAUCCCCCGGCUUAACCGGGGAACGGGCGCCGAAACGACCAGUCUGGAGGAACGUAGGGGGAGCUGGAACUUCCGGUGGAGCGGUGAAAUGCGUUGAGAUCGGAAGGAACGCCCGUGGCGAAAGCGAGCUCCUGGACGUUUUCUGACGCUGAGACGCGAAAGCCAGGGGAGCGAACGGG